This 435-nucleotide ribosomal RNA is filed under the name uncultured bacterium. RNAcentral describes it as "bacterial SSU rRNA". It matches the Rfam family "Bacterial small subunit ribosomal RNA", at positions 43 to 524 of the family's 1533-position model. The record is from RNAcentral.
CAGGCCUAACACAUGCAAGUCGAACGCCCGAGCAAUCGGGAGUGGCAGACGGGUGAGUAACGCGUGGGAACGUGCCUUCUGGUCUGGAAUAACCCUGGGAAACUAGGGCUAAUACCGGAUACGCCCUUUUGGGGAAAGGUUUACUGCCGGAAGAUCGGCCCGCGUCUGAUUAGCUAGUUGGUGGGGUAACGGCCUACCAAGGCGACGAUCAGUAGCUGGUCUGAGAGGAUGAUCAGCCACACUGGGACUGAGACACGGCCCAGACUCCUACGGGAGGCAGCAGUGGGGAAUAUUGGACAAUGGGCGCAAGCCUGAUCCAGCCAUGCCGCGUGAGUGAUGAAGGCCUUAGGGUUGUAAAGCUCUUUUAUCCGGGACGAUAAUGACGGUACCGGAGGAAUAAGCCCCGGCUAACUUCGUGCCAGCAGCCGCGGUAAU